This 497-nucleotide ribosomal RNA is filed under the name uncultured bacterium. RNAcentral describes it as "partial 16S ribosomal RNA". It matches the Rfam family "Bacterial small subunit ribosomal RNA", at positions 28 to 507 of the family's 1533-position model. The record is from RNAcentral.
GAUGAACGCUGGCGGCGUGCCUAAUACAUGCAAGUCGAGCGAACAGACGAGGAGCUUGCUCCUUUGACGUUAGCGGCGGACGGGUGAGUAACACGUGGAUAACCUACCUAUAAGACUGGGAUAACUUCGGGAAACCGGAGCUAAUACCGGAUAAUAUAUUGAACCGCAUGGUUCAAUAGUGAAAGACGGCUUUGCUGUCACUUAUAGAUGGAUCCGCGCUGCAUUAGCUAGUUGGUAAGGUAACGGCUUACCAAGGCAACGAUGCGUAGCCGACCUGAGAGGGUGAUCGGCCACACUGGAACUGAGACACGGUCCAGACUCCUACGGGAGGCAGCAGUAGGGAAUCUUCCGCAAUGGGCGAAAGCCUGACGGAGCAACGCCGCGUGAGUGAUGAAGGUCUUCGGAUCGUAAAACUCUGUUAUUAGGGAAGAACAAAUGUGUAAGUAACUAUGCACGUCUUGACGGUACCUAAUCAGAAAGCCACGGCUAACUACGUG